RNAcentral lists this ribosomal RNA (1344 nucleotides) under Precis cuama. RNAcentral's name for it is "16S ribosomal RNA". The record is from RNAcentral. Lineage: Eukaryota; Metazoa; Arthropoda; Insecta; Lepidoptera; Nymphalidae.
GGGGUAAAAUUAAAAAAUUAUAAUUAAUAAAAAAAAUUUUAAUAUUAAAAAUAAAUAAAUGGGGGUUUAAGUAUUUUUAAUAGAAAAAAUUAAUAUUUUUAUAGUUAAAUAUUACUGUAAAGGAAUGUAUAAAAUAAUUGAAAGAAAAAUUAAUUAAAAAGUAAAUUUAAUUUAUUGUAUCUUGUGUAUCAGAGUUUAUUAAAUAAUAAUAAUUUAGUUAAAUAAAUCUCGAAUUUAAAAGAGUUAAUUAAUUAAAAAAUUUAAUGUUGUAUAAUUAUUUUUAAUAAUUAAUUGGAAAUGAAAUGUUAAUCGUUUUUAAAUAUAUCUAGUUUUUUUAGAAAAAAAUUUAAUUUAAAAUUAAAAUAAUUUUAUAAUUAUUUAAUUAAUUAUGAAAAUUUGAAAUUUAAUAUUUUAGGGGAUAAGCUUUAAAUUAAAAAUUUAUAAUUAAAUUAAUUAUAAAUUAAAAUUUUUAAUAUUUAUAUUGUUUAAAAAUUAUAAUUUAUUAUAAAAAAUUUUAAUAAAAAAUAAAAUUUAAAAUAAAAUUUAAAUUUUUAUAAAAAAAUAAUUUGUAAUUAAAUAAAAUUAGUAAUAAAUAUUUAUAUAUAUAUAUAUAUAUAUAUAUAUAAUUUAAAUAAAAAUUUAUUAAAAAAUAAAUUAAAGGAAUUCGGCAAAAAUUUAUGUUCACUUGUUUAUCAAAAACAUGUCUUUUUGAUUUUAAUUUAAAGUCUAAUCUGCCCACUGAUAUUAUAAAUUAAAGGGCUGCAGUAUAUUGACUGUACAAAGGUAGCAUAAUCAUUAGUCUUUUAAUUGAAGACUUGUAUGAAAGAUUUGAUGAGAUAUAAACUGUCUCUAUUUUAAAAUUAGAAAUUAAUUUUUUAGUAAAAAAGCUAAAAUAAGAUUAAAAGACGAGAAGACCCUAUAGAGUUUUAUAUUUUAUUUUUUUUUUAUAAAAAUAUAUAAUUAAUUAGCAAAUAAAAUAAAGUAUUUUAUUGGGGUGAUAGAAAAAUUUAAUAAACUUUUUUUAUUUUUUAACAUAAAUAAGUGAAUUAUUGAUCCAUUAUUAAUGAUUAAAAGAAAAAAUUACCUUAGGGAUAACAGCGUAAUAUUUUUUUUUAGUACGAAUAAAAAAAAAAGUUUGCGACCUCGAUGUUGGAUUAAGAUAAAAUUUAAAUGCAGAAGUUUAAAAUUUUGAUCUGUUCGAUCAUUAAAAUCUUACAUGAUCUGAGUUCAAACCGGUGUGAGCCAGGUUGGUUUCUAUCUUUAAUAAAUAAAAAUAUUUUAGUACGAAAGGAUUAAAUAUUUAAAAUAAUUUUAUUUGUUUGAAUAUUAUUAAAUAUGAAUUUA